AGUUAACACCUGCAUUAUUUGACGUUACCUACAGAAGAAGCACCGGCUAACUCCGUGCCAGCAGCCGCGGUAAUACGGAGGGUGCGAGCGUUAAUCGGAAUUACUGGGCGUAAAGCGCAUGCAGGCGGCCUCGUUAAGUCAGAUGUGAAAGCCCGGGGCGUUAACCUCGGAAAUUGCAUUUGUAAACUGGCAGGCUAGAGUCUUGUAGAGGGGGGUAGGAAGUUUCAGGUGUAGCGGUGAAAUAGCGUAGAGAUCUGAAGGAAUACCAGUGGCGAAGGCGGCCCCCUCGGACAAAGACUGACGCUCAGAUGCGAAAGCGUGGGAGCAAACAGGAUUAGAUACCCUGGUAG
Molecule: ribosomal RNA, 350 nt
Filed under: uncultured bacterium
Lineage: Bacteria
Description: bacterial SSU rRNA
Rfam family: Bacterial small subunit ribosomal RNA
Source: RNAcentral